UAAUUAUCACACCAACCUCUGUAGCCAAAACGUACUAACGAGCGACAAUAAACGAGAAUCACACAAACAGAAGCAGAACCAGCAGACACAUACCAGCCAGCCGUCCAUCUCGCUAUUCACACAAAAGUCAGUCACUUAAUUUUUGCAGAGCAUUUAAAAUUUAUGGCGUUGAUUUUUAUUGCGCCAAACAACCUCAACACGAAAUGCAUACGAAAAAUGUGUGCCGAUGUACGCGACGAAGUUGAAACGAAUGAAAUGGUUUUGUGUUUGUGCGAGCGCGCCAGACACAUGUUCAGUCAAGCAACAACCAACCAACCAACCCACCGAUCGGGAUCACUCAGUCAGCCAGCCAGCCAGCCAAUUUAGCGAAAAAGACCUUAACUUUUGAAAAAUAUUUUCUGAAUCAGUCAGUCAGUCGUGCGUUGGCAUGCAUACCAGAAGUCAGCCAACUUGUCGGCGGCGGCAGCUAUACAAAACAAAUUAAAAUUUAUAGACUAACCAACUCAACUCGGGUUGUUGUUAAUCGAGUCGAGUCAUGGUGGUGGUGUUGGUGAUGAUGAUGACGACGACAGCGUCAGCGACAGGAAAAAUAGCGAAUCGACCGGCCGGCCAGACAGUGUCUGUUCAGUAGUGGAGAAAAAUAACUUGAUACUACGUCGGCAUUUUUGCAAAACAAUGCAAAAAUGUAAGGCCAUAAUAAAACUAUGACGGCGUUGGCUGGUUGGUUUGGAAGAGAGCCAUCAUCCAUUCAGAGACGGCGGCGACCACAGCUACAAUUAACGGCCAUGACAAACAAAAACUGUUGUUUGGCUGGCUGGUUGGUUGGUUGCGCAUCAUUCGUUUGUUCAUUGCCUGCUGCCCCUGCUUCUUGGUUGAUUUCUUGCUUAUUAAUCGUAUCGUGUGGGGAAUUAAGAAAACACCCCCUUCCGUUGAUUCGUGACAACAAGACAAAAAUGCGCUCGCCAAGGAGGAGGAGGAUGAUGAUGGUGGUGGUGGCAACAAAAUAUGUUGAUGGUGCAAAACAAAUAGCUUUGACGGCGGCAUCUGUCUGGCUCGUCGUCGUUAAAAUCUCAUCGAAAUCGAGAUUCGAUAUUCGAGGGAAAAAUUAGGCAAACAGCAUUAAUAGUAGGUGUUAUCUCCGCAGAAAAAUAGCCCCCAACAAAACAAAGCAGGCACGAAUCAACGAACGAAACUUAUCAGCAACGCAAAACAAAAGAGGCGCACUCGGUCAAUAACACAAGCAACCAACCAACACAGAGGCAUGCAUACAGGCAAGCAAACAACAACACACACUCGUUUACUCUUGAAAUGUCAAUAAGAAAGACAGAAAGCGAGAGAGAGCACGAGACUAUAUUUGCCGUAAUGGGUGUGCUCUUUCGCUCACCCAACAUGUGCGAUAUGCAUGAGUUGAGGGUCGCCGUCGCCGCCACUACUCAUCAACAUUGUUCGUCGUGUUCUUCUAUUCAGAUAUCAUUAUUUUUACUUCGGGUUUGCUCGCUUUUUCUUUUGGGCGCCGCAUCAUUCAUUUGUUGGGCCCGCCGUUAUUAGUUUGUUUACAUCGAGAACGCACGCCAUCAUCGACCGACCGCCACAAUUUUUAUUAUUGUUUGCCGCCGUCAUCACACGUUGUCGAACCAACCAACCAACCAACCAGCUGACUUGUGUGUAACGUUGGUUGCGGUGCUUCCACGUUUCAGCACAAGCAACAGUCAUUCUCAUUUCGUUUCUUGGUUGCGCCAUCAACCUGACGACAACGUGUAACCGCCAAUGUACUAGGCGACCAGAAUUGCCAUAUGAGAUAAUAGCAAGCUGCAAAAACUGGCAAGCAAACCGAUUUGGUUCCGUAUACACUGGUGGUGUAUACACGUGAGAUAGAAGAGAGACAAAACGAACGAAGCGAUAGACAACACAUUUCGUUUUUCGACGAGAAACGAUGAAUCGUGAGGGAAAAUAUAGCAAAUGUGUUUAAGUGGCA
Molecule: long non-coding RNA, 1975 nt
Organism: Musca domestica (house fly)
Lineage: Eukaryota; Metazoa; Arthropoda; Insecta; Diptera; Muscidae
Exons: 2
Source: RefSeq, a predicted model, not a curated record